AAGUUAAACGGCCGCGGUACCCUAACCGUGCGAAGGUAGCGCAAUCACUUGUUCUUUAAAUGAGGACUAGUAUGAACGGCAUCACGAAGGUUAUACUGUCUCCUUCCUCCAAUCAGUGAAACUGACCCCCCCGUGAAGAGGCGGGGAUAAAAAUAUAAGACGAGAAGACCCCAUGGAGCUUUAAACUCAGCAUCAAUUGCCCAACUCAAAUAUCAUUUUAAAUCAGCAAACCUGACAGCUAGUUUUCGGUUGGGGUGACCACGGAGCAAAACAAAACCUCCAUGAUGAAAGGACAAACCUCCUAAUCUAAGAGCUACAACUCAAAGAAUCAAUAAACUGACAUAACUUGAUCCAAUUAACUUUGAUCAACGAACCAAGUUACCCUGGGGAUAACAGCGCAAUCCACUUCAAGAGCCCCUAUCGACAAGUGGGUUUACGACCUCGAUGUUGGAUCAGGGUAUCCCAGUGGUGCAGCCGCUACUAAUGGUUCGUUUGUUCAACGAUUAA
This 507-nucleotide ribosomal RNA is filed under the name Uperodon mormoratus. Its description in RNAcentral is "partial small subunit ribosomal RNA". It matches the Rfam family "Bacterial large subunit ribosomal RNA", at positions 1920 to 2591 of the family's 2925-position model. Lineage: Eukaryota; Metazoa; Chordata; Amphibia; Anura; Microhylidae. The record is from RNAcentral.